This 465-nucleotide ribosomal RNA is filed under the name uncultured Acidobacteriota bacterium. Its description in RNAcentral is "bacterial SSU rRNA". It matches the Rfam family "Bacterial small subunit ribosomal RNA", at positions 338 to 795 of the family's 1533-position model. The record is from RNAcentral. Lineage: Bacteria; Pseudomonadati; Acidobacteriota.
CCUACGGGAGGCAGCAGUGGGGAAUUGUUCACAAUGGGCGCAAGCCUGAUGACGCAACGCCGCGUGGGGGAUGAAGGUCUUCGGAUUGUAAACCCCUGUCGAACGGGACGAAAGACCCGGGAGCUAAUCAUCCUGGGAGUGACGGUACCGUUAAAGGAAGCCACGGCUAACUCUGUGCCAGCAGCCGCGGUAAUACAGAGGUGGCAAGCGUUGUUCGGAAUUACUGGGCGUAAAGGGCGCGUAGGCGGCCUUCUAAGUCAGACGUGAAAUCCCCCGGCUCAACCUGGGAACUGCGUCUGAUACUGGGAGGCUUGAGUAUGGGAGAGGGAUGUAGAAUUCCAGGUGUAGCGGUGAAAUGCGUAGAUAUCUGGAGGAAUACCGGUGGCGAAGGCGGCAUCCUGGACCAUUACUGACGCUGAGGCGCGAAAGCUAGGGGAGCAAACGGGAUUAGAUACCCUUGUAGUC